UGAGCAAUCUGCCCUUCCCUUCGGAAUAAGCGUUGGAAACGACGUCUAAUGCCGAAUACGACCUCCUUUCGCAUGACUCGGAGGUGGAAAGCUCCGGCGGAGAAGGAUGAGCUCGCGGCCUAUCAGCUAGCUGGUGUGGGUAAUGGCCCACCAAGGCGACGACGGGUAGCCGGCCUGAGAGGAUGAUCAGCCACACUGGGACUGAGACACGGCCCAGAUCCGUAACGGG
Molecule: ribosomal RNA, 229 nt
Filed under: uncultured bacterium
Lineage: Bacteria
Description: partial 16S ribosomal RNA
Rfam family: Bacterial small subunit ribosomal RNA
Source: RNAcentral